Molecule: non-coding RNA, 74 nt
Organism: Prionailurus viverrinus (fishing cat)
Lineage: Eukaryota; Metazoa; Chordata; Mammalia; Carnivora; Felidae
Source: the annotation of a RefSeq genome assembly
GCCUGGGUGGCUCAGUCGGUUGAGCGUCCGACUCCGGAUCUGGUGGCUUGCGGGUUCGAGCCCCGCGUCGGGCU